This 460-nucleotide ribosomal RNA is filed under the name uncultured bacterium. RNAcentral describes it as "partial 16S ribosomal RNA". It matches the Rfam family "Bacterial small subunit ribosomal RNA", at positions 338 to 795 of the family's 1533-position model. The record is from RNAcentral.
CCUACGGGUGACAGCAGUGAGGAAUAUUGGUCAAUGGACGUAAGCCUGAACCAGCCAAGUAGCGUGAAGGAUGAAGGCCCUAUGGGUUGUAAACCUCUUUUAUAUGGGAAUAAAGCAGGGUACGCAUACCGUCUUGUAUGUACCUUAUGAAUAAGGAUCGGCUAACUCCGUGCCAGCAGCCGCGGUAAUACGGAGGAUCCGAGCGUUAUCCGGAUUUAUUGGGUUUAAAGGGUGCGUAGGCGGACUGUUAAGUCAGUUGUGAAAGUUUGCGGCUCAACCGUAGAAUUGCCGUUGAAACUGGGAGUCUUGAGUACGGUAGAGGCAGGCGGAAUGCGUGGUGUAGCGGUGAAAUGCUUAGAUAUCACGAAGAACCCCGAUUGCGAAGGCAGCUUACUGGGCUGCGACUGACGCUGAUGCACGAAAGUGUGGGUAUCAAACAGGAUUAGAUACCCUGGUAGUC